This is a long non-coding RNA of Oncorhynchus tshawytscha (Chinook salmon), 374 nucleotides long. Lineage: Eukaryota; Metazoa; Chordata; Actinopteri; Salmoniformes; Salmonidae. The record is from Ensembl.
GGGGGUUUAAACCUCUCCUCAGGGACUCCUCACAGCAGGGGGUUUAAACCUCUCCUCAGGGACUCCCUACAGCAGGGGGGUUUAAACCUCUCCUCAGGGACUCCCUACAGCAGGGGGUUUAAACCUCUCCUCAGGGACUAACUACAGCAGGGGGUUUAAACCUCUCCUCAGGGACUAACUACAGCAGGGGGUUUAAACCUCUCCUCAGGGACUCCCUACAGCAGGGGGUUUAAACCUCUCCUCAGGGACUAACUACAGCAGGGGGUUUAAACCUCUCCUCAGGGACUAACUACAGCAGGGGGUUUAAACCUCUCCUCAGGGACUAACUACAGCAGGGGGUUUAAACCUCUCCUCAGGGACUAACUACAGCAGGG